CACGCCCUAAACGAUGAAUACUAGACGUUGGGUGUAAAAACUCAGUGUCGCAGCUAACGCAUUAAGUAUUCCACCUGGGGAGUACGAUCGCAAGGUUGAAACUCAAAGGAAUUGACGGGGGCCCGCACAAGCAGUGGAGCAUGUGGUUCAAUUCGAUGCAACGCGAAGAACCUUACCUGGGCUUGAAAAGCAAGCUAAAGCAGAUGAAAGUCUGUGUGCCGCAAGGCGAGCUUGUACAGGUGCUGCAUGGCUGUCGUCAGCUCGUGCCGUGAGGUGUUGGGUUAAGUCCCGCAACGAGCGCAACCCUUGUUCUUAGUUGCCACCGGGUAAUGCCGAGCACUCUAAGAAGACUGCCUACGCAAGUAGU
This 367-nucleotide ribosomal RNA is filed under the name uncultured bacterium. RNAcentral's name for it is "bacterial SSU rRNA". It matches the Rfam family "Bacterial small subunit ribosomal RNA", at positions 796 to 1166 of the family's 1533-position model. The record is from RNAcentral.